RNAcentral lists this unclassified non-coding RNA (84 nucleotides) under Hyunsoonleella jejuensis. Its description in RNAcentral is "Flavo-1 RNA". Lineage: Bacteria; Pseudomonadati; Bacteroidota; Flavobacteriia; Flavobacteriales; Flavobacteriaceae. The record is from RNAcentral.
UGAUAGGUGCGUUAGGGAUUGUAGUGGAAAGCCCACAGCCCGACGAAGGAGGGCGAGGACUUGCAACAGAAAGCCCGACCACUU